CUUUGGUGAUGAUAAGAUGACGAGUCAGAAGUGGGUGGCUCCUGUUGCGGUACCUCUGCAGCGUCAUGUUCUGUAGCAGGAGCCUCCUGUCACCAUUGAACGAUUUAGAGGCAUUUGUCUGAGAAGG
This 127-nucleotide small nucleolar RNA is filed under the name Podiceps cristatus (great crested grebe). Lineage: Eukaryota; Metazoa; Chordata; Aves; Podicipediformes; Podicipedidae. The record is from RNAcentral.